CUCAGGGAGAUAUUCCCGUUGCACUUCUACCAUGAGAUUGAGAACCAAAAAGAGGAGGCAAUAGUAUUCCCUGUGUUGAAGCACAUCCGUCUCCACGAACUACCCAAGCUGCAGCACAUCUGCGUGCUCAACAUGAAUGCUCCCAUGCUCGAAACAGUCAAGAUCAGGGGUUGCUGGAGCCUCAAGCGCCUGCCGUCUCUUGGUGACAACACCAAGCCCCCGAAGGUGGACUGCGAGAAGGAUUGGUGGGACGGCCUAGAGUGGGAUGGGUUGGAGGCCAAGCACCACCCUUCCCUGUACGAGCCGAUCCACUCGGCCUACUACAAGAAGAAGCUGCCCAGAGUCUCCCUCCUGAGGUAG
Molecule: ribosomal RNA, 360 nt
Filed under: Triticum aestivum (bread wheat)
Lineage: Eukaryota; Viridiplantae; Streptophyta; Magnoliopsida; Poales; Poaceae
Description: partial small subunit ribosomal RNA
Source: RNAcentral